RNAcentral lists this ribosomal RNA (468 nucleotides) under uncultured bacterium. Its description in RNAcentral is "bacterial SSU rRNA". It matches the Rfam family "Bacterial small subunit ribosomal RNA", at positions 29 to 506 of the family's 1533-position model. The record is from RNAcentral.
AGUGAACGCUGGCGGCGUGCUUAACACAUGCAAGUCGAACGAGAACGGGUUAAAGCUUGCUUUAACUGUCAGCUAAGUGGCGCACGGGUGAGUAAUAUAUAGGUAAUGUGCCCUAGAGAGGGGGAUAACAGUUGGAAACGACUGCUAAGACCCCAUAUGCCUUUAAGUCAAAAGACUGCAAGGGAAAUAUUUAUAGCUCUAGGAUCGGCCUGUACGGUAUCAGCUAGUUGGUGAGGUAAUGGCUCACCAAGGCAAUGACGCCUAACUGGUUUGAGAGGAUGAUCAGUCACACUGGAACUGAGACACGGUCCAGACUCCUACGGGAGGCAGCAGUGGGGAAUAUUGCACAAUGGGGGAAACCCUGAUGCAGCAACGCCGCGUGGAGGAUGACACAUUUCGGUGCGUAAAACUCCUUUUAUAUAGGAAGAUAAUGACGGUACUAUAUGAAUAAGCACCGGCUAACUCCGU